Long non-coding RNA from Hemicordylus capensis (graceful crag lizard), 1025 nucleotides. RefSeq lists it as uncharacterized. The record is from RefSeq and is a predicted model, not a curated record. NCBI's taxonomy places the organism in Eukaryota, Metazoa, Chordata, Lepidosauria, Squamata, Cordylidae. The transcript has 3 exons.
GGCGCUGGGAUGCACAUUCCAAGGCACACCCCGGAGAAUUAUAAAAACAACUAAUGGACCCUGCACAGAGCAUCUGUGUGCAAUUUGGGGCUGGCGGUUACCUCUUUCCCCCCACCUUCUGCCCCAGUCUCCGCUUCUGGGCCCAGCCGCCUCUCCUCCCCACCACCACUUCUGCCCCUGCACUUUCUUUCCCCCCUCCUGGGCCUCGCUUCCACGGCUGGGCCAGGCCUCCGCGGCCGUGGCGACCAAUCCUCCUGGGUGUGCCUCAGACAAUCAGGCACGUCCGCCGCCCAGCCAAUCAGCUGGGCUCUGGGACGCACAUUCCAAGGCACACCUUGGCACAUAUAGAUUUUAAUUAAAAGCCUGAGAAAAGAGGUGUGUCUCAAGGGUCUUUUAAAAAGAAAUAAGAAUGGAGAAGCUCUUGUUUUGACAGGGUAUGCAUUCCAGAGUCCUGGGGCAGCCAUAAAGAAGGCCCGGCCCCGAGCCGCCUCCAGAGGAGCUGGUGGCAACUGGUGGAGCUCCCCAGAUGAGCUCAAUAAGUGGCAGGGUUCGUGACAAACAAUUGGCUCUCCCAGAAUGCUUUAAGAAGCCCUGAGUGGCCUCCUGGAUCAACCAGAUUUCAUGUGAAUAAGGAUCUGAAUCCAUACUUCAUGCUUAUUUUGAAAUUUUCUUUCAGCUAGGAGUGGCAGUUUUAACUAUUACAUCCAUCGGCUGAAUGUGCAGUCCCAAGAGGAAGGAAGGUCUGGCAAUGUCACCAUACCAUCAGUAUCAUAAGAUAUUUUAAACUCUGCCUGAGGAUUUAUAGUCCACUGUUCAAUUUCCAAAAAUGGAACCACGGAAGUCUCACAAAGAUGACAUCUUGACAAAAGAAAGGGAAUCUACACGAAUAUAGUUUUGCUGCAACAGUCUAGCACAGCUACUUCUCUGGAAAUAAUACAUAAAACACAGCAGAUAAACAUUGAAGCAGCCAACUACUUAACAAAUUACUUUAACGGAAGAUAAAUAAAACUGAUGAAAAAACAAUA